RNAcentral lists this ribosomal RNA (254 nucleotides) under uncultured bacterium. RNAcentral's name for it is "partial 16S ribosomal RNA". It matches the Rfam family "Bacterial small subunit ribosomal RNA", at positions 524 to 776 of the family's 1533-position model. The record is from RNAcentral.
UACGGAGGGUGCGAGCGUUGUCCGGAAUCACUGGGCGUAAAGGGCGCGUAGGCGGCGCGGGAAGUCCAUGGUGAAAGCCCGAGGCUCAACUUCGGGUCGGCCAAGGAUACUCCCGGGCUCGAGCACUGUAGAGGCAGGUGGAAUUCCGGGUGUAGCGGUGGAAUGCGUAGAUAUCGAGAGGAACACCAGAGGUGAAGACGGGUUGCUGGGCCGACACUGACGCUGACAGCGCGAAAGCCAGGGGAGCAAACGGG